AGUGGGGGAUAACGUAGCGAAAGUUACGCUAAUACCGCAUAUGCCCUGAGGGGGAAAGGAGGGGAUCGUAAGACCUUUCGCUUUCGGAGUGGCCGAUAUCGGAUUAGCUAGUUGGUGGGGUAAAGGCCUACCAAGGCGACGAUCCGUAGCUGGUCUGAGAGGACGACCAGCCACACUGGGACUGAGACACGGCCCAGACUCCUACGGGAGGCAGCAGUGGGGAAUUUUGGACAAUGGGCGCAAGCCUGAUCCAGCCAUGCCGCGUGAGUGAAGAAGGCCUUCGGGUUGUAAAGCUCUUUCGGACGGAAAGAAAUCGCACGGGCUAAUACCCCGUGUGGAUGACGGUACCGUAAGAAGAAGCGCCGGCUAACUACGUGCCAGCAGCCGCGGUAAUACGUAGGGUGCGAGCGUUAAUCGGAAUUACUGGGCGUAAAGCGUGCGCAGGCGGUUUUGUAAGACAGGUGUGAAAUCCCCGGGCUUAACCUGGGAACUGCACUUGUGACUGCAAGACUAGAGUGCGGCAGAGGGGGGUAGAAUUCCA
This 541-nucleotide ribosomal RNA is filed under the name uncultured Gallionellaceae bacterium. Its description in RNAcentral is "bacterial SSU rRNA". It matches the Rfam family "Bacterial small subunit ribosomal RNA", at positions 135 to 671 of the family's 1533-position model. Lineage: Bacteria; Pseudomonadati; Pseudomonadota; Betaproteobacteria; Nitrosomonadales; Gallionellaceae. The record is from RNAcentral.